AAAGUCUCAGGGUCGCAUCUGGAGAGUUUCCAGUGCCUUACCAGUGUCGGCUACGGGAGGGAGAGUCAAGCAGAGGCCUACCCAUUCCAUUCCUAGCUUGAGCAGUGGCUAGCGAUUGGAAAGCAAUCUGCUACUAGU
Tachyglossus aculeatus (Australian echidna) is the source of this 138-nucleotide small nucleolar RNA. NCBI's taxonomy places the organism in Eukaryota, Metazoa, Chordata, Mammalia, Monotremata, Tachyglossidae. The record is from RefSeq and is a predicted model, not a curated record.